This 221-nucleotide unclassified non-coding RNA is filed under the name Tanacetum semenovii. RNAcentral's name for it is "sequence contains ITS2". The record is from RNAcentral. Lineage: Eukaryota; Viridiplantae; Streptophyta; Magnoliopsida; Asterales; Asteraceae.
AUCGCGUCGCCCCCCACAAUUCUCUGUAAAGAGACCAGAGUGUGGGGGCGGAUAUUGGUCUCCCGUGCUCAUGGCGUGGUUGGCCAAAAUAGGAGUCCCUUCGAUGGACGCACAAACUAGUGGUGGUCGUAAAAACCCUCGUCUUUUGUUUUGUGUUGUUAGUCGCAAGGAUAAACUCUUUAAAUACCCCAACGUGUUGUCUUUUGACGACGCUUCGACCG